GCUGAAGUUGUUCUUACUGGUACACCAGAUCAGCCGUAUAAAUGCACUAAAUGUUCUGCUUGACUGCUUUUCUUUUUUAUCUUAAUAAAUUGCAUAUCUGCAGCAUCUUGACUCGCCUUUCUGAAAUUGUAGCUUAUCUCUCAUGGUGCAAUGGAAGUACUCCGUAUACUACAAGAUAGCUUCUCUGCAUUGUUGUUUGAUUAGUAACAAGUAUGCAACAUCCCAUGUCUGAAACUUCGUUUGAUUUAGUAACAAGUAACAAAUCAGACAGGGCAAGAAACCUGCACAUUUUCUGCUUCGCUGCCAUUUUUGUUAAGUAAUGUGCACAUGAAACCCAAUCCUGUAUAUGUACUGAUGGCAGUAUGCAUUUCAAUUUAGAAGAUUCCAAUGCUUCAUUUUUUGUAUCCGUGUUUGUCCUCUUGCAUUGUUUAAUAAGCAGAUCGGUCGACCACUAAUUAUACAUGUUGUUUUGAAUUUUGGCAGAAUUCGGGUGUUAUGCAUUUUUGAAAGUGUUGUGCAAUGGCAGAAAUUGGCAAGAGGACACCUCAAGUUGGUAUGAGGUUCAUAUAUUCGGAUGAGGCUUCGGUGUUUUGGGUAGAAUAUGGUGAGGAAAAGAUGCAUUAACUUAAGCAAAUUUGAUGGAAAAGCGACUUCACACAGAUUUGUGUGUUCCAAUGUGGGCACUAGAAGGAAAGCGCAAACUGAUCGUGAGCCAAAGCGCAAACCUUGUGAUGAUCAUGAUUUUAUUUUAGCAUGUGCAAGUCUAUUAGAUACUAGUAUUUUGGACAGAGUUAAGAAUAGUAUUUUGGGGCUAACUAUAAUCUUUUGUGGCCUAAGUGUACAAGUGAAACAGCCUAAUCUAUGUACUCCGGUGAUUGUCCAGUAGCAAGACUGUUGUUGCAUAAUUUGGAUGCUGAGUACUGCUAGAAUCGGUCUAAUGUGGCCUAUCUCUCCUCAUGUGUGCAUAUGGUUCACUCUUUGGAUUAAACUAUAGCCAAGUGUACAAGUAUACUGGCCUAAUAUAUCCAGUGUUCAGUGUCAAAAUUGUCCAGUUUGAAAAGGUU
RNAcentral lists this long non-coding RNA (1064 nucleotides) under Triticum aestivum (bread wheat). Its description in RNAcentral is "long non-coding RNA (TAES_LNC027952)". The record is from RNAcentral. Lineage: Eukaryota; Viridiplantae; Streptophyta; Magnoliopsida; Poales; Poaceae.